This 200-nucleotide ribosomal RNA is filed under the name uncultured bacterium. RNAcentral describes it as "partial 16S ribosomal RNA". It matches the Rfam family "Bacterial small subunit ribosomal RNA", at positions 524 to 723 of the family's 1533-position model. The record is from RNAcentral.
UACGGAGGGUGCAAGCGUUAUCCGGAAUCACUGGGUUUAAAGGGUGCGUAGGCGGCGCUAUAAGUCAGAGGUGAAAGGCCACAGCUUAACUGUGGGACUGCCUUUGAUACUGUAGUGCUUGAAUUAGGCUGAGGUCGGCGGAAUGUGACAUGUAGCGGUGAAAUGCUUAGAUAUGUCAUAGAACACCAAUUGCGAAGGCA